Molecule: long non-coding RNA, 334 nt
Organism: Nanorana parkeri
Lineage: Eukaryota; Metazoa; Chordata; Amphibia; Anura; Dicroglossidae
Exons: 2
Source: RefSeq, a predicted model, not a curated record
UCUCAGUAGUCUGUGUGUGUCAGUGCAGAGACAUCAAGAUGAGUUCUCAGGGGAUUCUACUUCCUCUCAUACUGAUUUAUAUUCAGGGUUCCUGGGCACAGAUUACAUUGACACAAAAUCCAAAUUACAUUCCUGCAACUCCAGGACAGACAGUCACCAUGCCAUGUAAAUCCAGUACAGGUAUUGGCACCUGUGUACACUGGUACCAGCAGAAAUCAGGACAACCUCCAACACUGAUUAUAUACUUGGCAACCAAUCUGCAGUCUGGAGCCCCAGCCAGGUUCAGUGGAUCUGGAUCUGGAACAUAUUUCACUCUUACAAUCAGAAACAUAAA